UCUGCAUCUUUGAUCAGGCCUAGCAUAUUGAUCAAAUAUGAAAAGUGCUUGGUUUCCAACAGGGACCUAAAAAAUCAGAAAGGCUUUUCUUAGCUUUUAUCUAUGCUCUGUGAGGUUAAGUCUUCUGCAAUACCAAGUAUUAUUGGGAUGUAGCAAAGAUAUUUUAUUUCAUGUAGGUGAUACAAAACUUUUUGUAGUACACGAGGAGUGAGUUUAUAAAAGAUAGCAGACAUCCUUUGGGCUUCUCUUUUCACUGUUUAAAAUAUAAAAGCCGGUACUUCUCAUCUGUGUUUCAUGGGAAUGCAUUUUAAUUCUUUUGAAUUCAGUCUAAUGUUGCUUCUAAGCCUCAGUGCUGCUUCUAAUUCUCAGUUGAAGAACACAUUAUUCCUCCUUUUCUUUCCAGUUUCACACAAAAAGUGAGUUGAAAACAUGUGCCAGUCCAAAAGAUGAGUGUCUGAAGACUCGUAUUUCUAUGUCAGCUAAGAUGACUCUCAGAUAUACAGGCUUGGCCAAAAAAUUGUGUAUGUCUAUAGGUUUUGUUUCAUAAGCUUGAGCAGAGAAGCUGCAAUUUUACCAAAAGGGGUAAACGUGCAACAGCAUUCCAGGUAGUCAAUGGCUUAUACAGGGGACAGAAGCAGAGCAGUUCCUGGUUUCUAUGUAAAUAAUGCACGUUUUUCUUCCUGCCUUUCUCCUGAAAAAGCAAAGUGCAAGCUGGUAGGUUUAAGGACUUAAUGCAGUUUUGUUCAUUCACCAUAAAUUACAAAUCAUUAUAGACCACAGUUGCAGGUUCCUAACUGCGACGUCUACCAAAAAUGUCUUUUAGCUGCUUGAAGAAAAAGCGACAGCUACCAGUUCUGUGCAGUUCUCUGCAACUGCUCAUGUGAUCCCCAGGGUAAGCAUUCACUCCCAGAGCUACUGCUGGAGAAUUAAUUUAUCAGUGGAUGCCCAAAGGCCCUGCUCUGCUGUGCUCCAUGGUGGCUGAAGGCAUCCAGAUACAGCCUUUUGUUUUUUGCGUUCAGCUAUGGAAGCCAAAGCAAGGGAAGGUACUGAGCAGGAAUUAACAUGCAGCCCAAAUUUACGUAGCGAUCACAGCAUGUGAUGGCAGAGUCAGCAGGGAAGGCAGAGCUUGGGCCCUGGUUUAGGAAACUGUGUGUAUGUGACUAAGAUCAGCCACAAAAAUGAGCCCAUGUUUAAAGCGAUUCUGCAAGGAAGAUGCAAAAACCCAUUUGUUCUUUAACAUUUUGGCAGUAAGACUUCCUUCUUUGGUAAGGUCUGUAAAGCUAACUCCCAAACACUAACGUUAAUUGUUUGUGCUUCUGGGCAGCUGCUGUAAGUAACUUCCAGUUUAAAUCCCCCAAAUAUUCUAGGGGUUGGUGGGUGGGUACAAUGAGCUGAAGGUGUAUGAAGAGUAGUUAUUUGUCCCAAUGUGCUUUUUUCCCCAAAGUUUGCUGGUGAAGACGGGACUAGGCUGAAUUAUCACUGUUCUAGUUAUCAGCUUUUCUGGGAUCCUCUGACCCUUAUUUGCAGACAGAAAAUAUGAAGUUUACAUAGCUCAGCAAAGAGAGGGUUACCUUGAUUAAAAAAUAACAAGCAGCUGUCAACAUGCUAGCUGCAGGAGAUAAAAGGGAUGAAAAAGAGGACUGCAGUUCUAGGAGCAAGGAAGGCUGACUUGCUUAGGCUGCAGAAAGAAAAUCAUCCUUCAGUACAAAGAAAAAGGUAUGUUGCUCACAGGAGUGAGCUAAGUCUUGGCCUUGCUACAGAAAUAGACAGUAUUUCCAGGUAAUAUAGGCCUAGCUAGGGUGAAGAGCUGACCAGCUAGCAGAGCUCUAGAGCAGGACUGAUUUCUCAAGAGUUGUUCUCUAUGAUGAUGAAAAGCUUAGCAACAAUUGUGUGGAGUUGGAAGAUAGUUGUAUCCCUAUGAGGAGGCAAGCAUUUAACAGUGAAAGCAAGACCGUAAGCAAGGAAAACAGCACACCAGCUUGGUAGCUUUAAGUCUGUCUCUGUGGAAUGUUUGUUUUAUCCUGACCUGGGCUACUGGGGUCAAGAUUGUGUUUUAUCCAUUUUUUCCUUCUAGUGAGUGAAAUACAAGAUGUCAGAUCAGACAAGCUGGAAGUCUUUAUCCUUAAAUUCUGAGUCCCUUCUACCCCCAGACUGCAGCUUCCCAUAAAACACUAGUUUAUAAAAUCACCUUGGUGUGUGUGUAGGGAAGCUUUAUACAAGAAAUACUAAUGGUGAUUUUUUUUUUAUUUAAAAAUAAAAAGCUAAAUCCUCCUAACUUUACCCUUAAAUGCCAAGGGGAGAGGGCUAUUCCUCCUAGGUUUGGCAAUUCAGAUCAAAGUGCAAAAGCAUUAUUAAGAUUUUGUCAGGAAAUAAUUAUCGAUUUGAAAACUUGUUCAGUCAAUUCUCUUCUACAGGGUGUUUUGGAGUUUUUUCUUUUAAACAAAUAAAAGCAAUUUUUCAUGCAAGUGAUUAUCGCUCGUGUAAACGCGUGCCCCCCUCCCACCCCUGCUGAAUAUUCAGGUAGCUGUGUAUCGUUUCACUGCCUUCCUUUUCAGAGAACACAGCCUUAAACUUAUUUCUAAUAUUUCAGCUUUCUCUUUGGAAUGCUGCAUGACCAAAACAAAACCAAUUGUAAUCAUCUGCAGCAUAUGCUUUGUAUCUCCGAUAGUCUGUAAUAUACUUAACGGGUACAAUUUCUAUAAUACUUCUGCCUGCUUGCUAUCAUCAAAAUGUGAUUUACUUGUGAUCGUUGAAGAUUACGCUUAACUGUAUCUCGCAUCUCCAGCAGGCUGCUCCUAUCUGUGUUUCAAUUUCCUUCUUGCAGGAAGUUUUGCUCUAAUCUGCUCCUUGUAAGCACACGGAACCCGUGCGUGGCUGCUCGAUGACAGGAGCACAGUGCCAGCUGCCCGGCCCCUGCCAGAGACCUGACCCGCUAGCUGCUGUCCGCACUCACAACCGGCUUAAGCGCGACAUCCUAACGGUAUUUUACUAAGCGCCAAUUAACUCACCGACUCUCUUAGGACGCUAGAGCAGGGGAAAAAACAGCAGUUAGCGGAAAACCAAAGGACUACCUCGCCGCUCCCCUCACAAACGCCCUCGGGUUCCCGCUCUCGGUGCGGCAGCGAGGCAGGCAGCGGGACCCCCCGGCAGCCCCAGGCCGGGUGCCGCUCUCCCUCCGAGCCCCACGAUCUGAUGGUCUCUAGAGACUCAUCACCAGAGUAGUCGUGUCGUUAAUCUUUAAUCAGACCACAGAAAUUCAGUGACAACAAAGAUGUGUGUUAAGAGUGAGGUUGGACUUACAUUGUAACCUUUGGAGUUGGACUUACCAAUUGGUCUGGAAUCUGCAAAUGUCGCUUUGUUCUACGUACCUAGAGCCUGCUUUUCCCGAGUUACCAAGUGGACUCGAUGUACAUAUGCAUCAUUCCUGGCAUGCGGGUCAGGAGAGGGCCCCGCUCUGUGUGCCAUACUGGAAUUUUGGCUUCUAAGUUUUUACAAAUAUAGAGGCAAGAUGUGACUUCAUUCUUAA
This is a long non-coding RNA of Cygnus olor (mute swan), 3526 nucleotides long. RefSeq lists it as uncharacterized. The transcript is spliced from 4 exons. The record is from RefSeq and is a predicted model, not a curated record. NCBI's taxonomy places the organism in Eukaryota, Metazoa, Chordata, Aves, Anseriformes, Anatidae.